ACGGAAGGCAGCAGUGGGGAAUAUUGGGCAAUGGGCGAAAGCCUGACCCAGCAACGCCGCGUGAAGGAAGAAGGUCUUCGGAUUGUAAACUUCUUUUAUGAGGGACGAUAAUGACGGUACCUCAUGAAUAAGCCACGGCUAACUACGUGCCAGCAGCCGCGGUAAUACGUAGGUGGCAAGCGUUAUCCGGAUUUACUGGGUGUAAAGGGCGCGUAGGCGGGAAAGCAAGUCAGAUGUGAAAUCCAUGGGCUCAACUCAUGAACUGCAUUUGAAACUGUUAGUCUUGAGUGUCGGAGAGGUAAGCGGAAUUCCUAGUGUAGCGGUGAAAUGCGUAGAUAUUAGGAGGAACACCAGUGGCGAAGGCGGCUUACUGGACGAUAACUGACGUUGAGGCUCGAAAGCGUGGGGAGCAAACAGGAUUAGAUACCCUGGUA
RNAcentral lists this ribosomal RNA (434 nucleotides) under uncultured Oscillospiraceae bacterium. Its description in RNAcentral is "partial 16S ribosomal RNA". It matches the Rfam family "Bacterial small subunit ribosomal RNA", at positions 341 to 792 of the family's 1533-position model. The record is from RNAcentral. Lineage: Bacteria; Bacillati; Bacillota; Clostridia; Eubacteriales; Oscillospiraceae.